UUUUUUCUUAUUUUAUUAUAAUUAAAAUAGGUUUUUGAUAAAAACCAAAAUAAUGAAAAAAG
RNAcentral lists this transfer RNA (62 nucleotides) under Symsagittifera roscoffensis. RNAcentral's name for it is "tRNA-Ile". Lineage: Eukaryota; Metazoa; Xenacoelomorpha; Acoela; Convolutidae. The record is from RNAcentral.